Molecule: ribosomal RNA, 477 nt
Filed under: uncultured bacterium
Lineage: Bacteria
Description: bacterial SSU rRNA
Rfam family: Bacterial small subunit ribosomal RNA
Source: RNAcentral
GCGUGCUUAACACAUGCAAGUCGAGACGAUGAAGUUUUUUCUUUCGGGGAAACGGAUUAGCGGCGGACGGGUGAAGUAACACGUGGGGUAAACCUGCCUCAUAGAGUGGAAUAGCCUUCCGAAAGGAAGAUUAAUACCGCAUAAUGUUGAAAGAUGGCAUCAUCAUUCAACCAAAGGAGCAAUCCGCUAUGAGAUGGACCCGCGGCGCAUUAGCUAGUUGGGUGGGGUAACAGCCUACCAAGGCGACGAUGCGUAGCCGACCUGAGAGGGUGAUCGGCCACAUUGGGACUGAGACACGGCCCAGACUCCUACGGGAGGCAGCAGUGGGGAAUUAUUGCACAAUGGGGGAAACCCCUGAUGCAGCAACGCCGCGUGAGUGAUGAAGGUUUUCGGAUCGUAAAGCUCUGUCUUUGGGGAAGAUAAUGACGGUACCCAAGGAGGAAGCCACGGCUAACUACGUGCCAGCAGCCGCGGUAA